UGGCUCCAGCAUCGAUGAAGAACGCAGCGAAACGCGAUAUGUAAUGUGAAUUGCAGAAUUCAGUGAAUCAUCGAAUCUUUGAACGCACAUGGCGCCUUCCAGUAUCCUGGGAGGCAUGCCUGUCCGAGCGUCGUUUCAACCCUCGAGCCCCUGUGGCCCGGCGUUGGGGAUCUGCCACGGCAGGCCCCUAAAACCAGUGGCGGACCCGAAGGGCCCUCUCCUUUGCGCAGUAGCAUUCGCCUCGCAUCGGGAGUCCUCGGCGUCCUGCCUCUAAACCCCCCACAAGCCCGCCUCGGCGGCACCAAGGUUGACCUCGGAUCAGGUAGGAAUACCCGCUGA
RNAcentral lists this unclassified non-coding RNA (339 nucleotides) under uncultured fungus. RNAcentral describes it as "partial contains 5.8S ribosomal RNA and internal transcribed spacer 2". The stretch from base 1 to 133 matches the Rfam family "5.8S ribosomal RNA", at positions 22 to 154 of the family's 154-position model. The record is from RNAcentral. Lineage: Eukaryota; Fungi.